This 200-nucleotide ribosomal RNA is filed under the name uncultured bacterium. Its description in RNAcentral is "partial 16S ribosomal RNA". It matches the Rfam family "Bacterial small subunit ribosomal RNA", at positions 30 to 230 of the family's 1533-position model. The record is from RNAcentral.
AUUGAACGCUGGCGGCAGGCCUAACACAUGCAAGUCGAGCGGAUGACGAGAGCUUGCUCUCUGAUUCAGCGGCGGACGGGUGAGUAAUGCCUAGGAAUCUGCCUGGUAGUGGGGGACAACGUUUCGAAAGGAACGCUAAUACCGCAUACGUCCUACGGGAGAAAGCAGGGGACCUUCGGGCCUUGCGCUAUCAGAUGAGC